Molecule: ribosomal RNA, 372 nt
Filed under: uncultured Glomeraceae
Lineage: Eukaryota; Fungi; Glomeromycota; Glomeromycetes; Glomerales; Glomeraceae
Description: LSU rRNA
Source: RNAcentral
UUGAAAGGGAAACGAUUGAAGUCAGUCGUACUGACGGGAAAUCAACCUUUUGGGUAUGAUCUUGUGGAUGCUAGAGAGCUUAACGGCCUCUGUGUUUUCAAGUUUGUGCUCUUGGGCGUAUUUUCUCGUAUAGUAAGUUAACAUCAAUUUCGGUCGUUAUAAAAUGAUCGGAGGGAAGUAGCUUCGAUUUAUCGAAGUGUUAUAGACUCUGGUAGAUGUAACGAUUGGGAUUGAGGAUUGCAACGAAUACCCGUCAGGGCUAUCCGUCUGGCCUCUGAUCAUUACCUUGGUGCCGAAAGCUUGCUUACGGUUAUUGAGGUUGAUGGUCAAAAGGUUAGAACGUGAUUAAAUUUCGUUAAGGAUGUUGACGUA